UUGCACUGCCACCUUUGCAGGGUUCUCAAACACAAGCAUCAUGGAUGACAACAGAAACUGAUACUGAAACCUUCUCAGACGCUGAAAAUCGACUGUUCAGCAUAAGGUACGAAGAAGGCUAUGAUAUCAAUGAUGAGCGAUACAAUACGUGGCUUAGAAAAACUCAUCCUGAAGUUUGCAUAACUGUCAGGCAACGUGUGAGUCCGGCCAUGGAGUCUCUGCGAGCAACGUUCAUCCUCAACCACUCAGAAAUGCUGUGACACAAAUUCUCCAUUUGCCAACAGUAACAUCAAAGGACAAGGCAACUGUAACAAGGCACAAACCAACAGUCCUGACAGCUGUAGAUACUGUCAAAGAUAUGGAAAAGAAAGAGCAGAAGGAGAAAACCCUUAUAGCAGAAAGACAAGCCAGAAAGAAACAAGAGCAACACUAGCAGCGCAAAAACAACAGCAGGCUACACAGCAAUGUCUGACAAGAACAACAAUCAAUCGCACUGCUGGUAGGCCCAACGUCGACAUGCAAGGUGCACGGACAGCAACACAGGUCUACAAGAGCGUCAGGCAAAGGGGCGUUGAAAGAAAAGCACGGGCUGUCCCUAUGCGAACUGGAAAUUGUGCUCUCGCCAAAGCUGGAAAAUGGGUGACGUGUAUUGUCUGCACCAUCUGGGUGCAUCAAGCCUGUUCAUGCAGUUAUGCUGCAAGACACUCAGAACUUCAAACGCCUAAGCUGUGUAGACUAGAAGCCUACCAGAGGGCUGCGCUAGAUGCUAGUAGAGUAACAUUGUAAGCAGAAACUAGAUUAGUUGCUACUAGAUUGAUCAUUGCUGAGUCAAAUAGAGGUAGAACGACUCAGGGGUCAUACCACAUUUCCUUCCAUCUCUCUCUCGUAACACCACCACCGGCAGACCGCUGACUGCAA
Corticium candelabrum is the source of this 918-nucleotide long non-coding RNA. RefSeq lists it as uncharacterized. NCBI's taxonomy places the organism in Eukaryota, Metazoa, Porifera, Homoscleromorpha, Homosclerophorida, Plakinidae. The transcript has 3 exons. The record is from RefSeq and is a predicted model, not a curated record.